CUAAGGCUCCAGAGGAAGCCACGGCUAACUCUGUGCCAGCAGCCGCGGUAAUACAGAGGCGGCAAGCGUUGUUCGGAAUUAUUGGGCGUAAAGAGCACGUAGGCGGCCUUGCAAGUCAGUCGUGAAAGCCUUCCGCUUAACGGAAGAAUGCCAGCUGAUACUACAGGGCUUGAGUACGGGAGGGGAGAGUGGAACUUCUGGUGGAGCGGUGAAGUGCGUAGAUAUCAGAAGGAACGUCGGCGGCGAAAGCGACUCUCUGGCCUAUUACUGACACUGAGUGUGCGAAAGUUAGGGGAGCAAGCGGGAUUAGAUACCCCGGUAGUCCUAGCCGUAAA
This 335-nucleotide ribosomal RNA is filed under the name uncultured Planctomycetales bacterium. Its description in RNAcentral is "bacterial SSU rRNA". It matches the Rfam family "Bacterial small subunit ribosomal RNA", at positions 473 to 806 of the family's 1533-position model. Lineage: Bacteria; Pseudomonadati; Planctomycetota; Planctomycetia; Planctomycetales. The record is from RNAcentral.